This 382-nucleotide ribosomal RNA is filed under the name uncultured eukaryote. RNAcentral describes it as "partial 18S ribosomal RNA". It matches the Rfam family "Eukaryotic small subunit ribosomal RNA", at positions 592 to 976 of the family's 1831-position model. The record is from RNAcentral.
UGUAAGCGUAUACCAAAGUUGUUGCAGUUAAAACGCUCGUAGUCGGAAUUUGGCAGUUCCGGAUGUGUGCACGUCGUGUGCGCACUUCGCGGGGAUUGCUUUUGUGGUCUUGCGUAGGAUGAGGCACUUUUAUUAGUGAACGUCCUCACGCAACCACUUUUUACUGUGAGAAAAUCAGAGUGCUCAAAGCAGGCAUUUGCCGUAAAUGUAUUAGCAUGGAAUAAUAGAAUAGGACUUGGUUCUAUUUUGUUGGUUUGUUGGGACUGAGUAAUGAUUAAGAGGGACAGUUGGGGGCAUUUGUAUUUCGGUGCUAGAGGUGAAAUUCUUAGAUUACCGAAAGACAAACUGCUGCGAAAGCGUCUGCCAAGGAUGUUUUCAUUGA